UGCCAGCCGCCGCGGUAAUACGGAGGGUCCAAGCGUUGUCCGGAUUUAUUGGGUUUAAAGGGUGCGUAGGCGGCCUUAUAAGUCAGUGGUGAAAUCCUUCGGCUCAACCGGAGAACUGCCAUUGAAACUGUAAGGCUUGAGUACAGACGAGGUAGGCGGAAUUUAUGGUGUAGCGGUGAAAUGCAUAGAUACCAUAAAGAACACCUAUAGCGAAGGCAGCUUACUAGGCUAGUAUUGACGCUCAGGCACGAAAGCGUGGGGAGCAAACAGGAUUAGAUA
Molecule: ribosomal RNA, 279 nt
Filed under: uncultured bacterium
Lineage: Bacteria
Description: partial 16S ribosomal RNA
Rfam family: Bacterial small subunit ribosomal RNA
Source: RNAcentral